This 92-nucleotide transfer RNA is filed under the name Candidatus Nealsonbacteria bacterium CG23_combo_of_CG06-09_8_20_14_all_38_19. RNAcentral describes it as "tRNA-Ser". It matches the Rfam family "tRNA". Rfam says of the family: Transfer RNA (tRNA) molecules are approximately 80 nucleotides in length. Their secondary structure includes four short double-helical elements and three loops (D, anti-codon, and T loops). Lineage: Bacteria; Candidatus Nealsoniibacteriota. The record is from RNAcentral.
GGAGGAGUCGGAUAACGGUCAUUCCAACGGUUUGCUAAACCGUAACGGCCUUUAAAAGCCGUUUGUGGGUUCGAAUCCCACCUCCUCCGCAA